UUCACUAAGAUAUUUUCAUUCAAAAAAGAAAAUAGAACACAUUUAAUGACAAUCCUUACUUCCUGCGAACCACAUCACAUAAUGAAAAGCAAAAACAUAAAAUUUAACAAGCUACGAUGAGAUUAGAGUGUGGCUGCAUUAAUGAAAAUACACUGAAUUGAUAGUUUCUGCAAGUGCAAGAGGACAACCACAGUAACAAGAGGGCCCUCCCUUGUUAUCUUUAUUCCUCCAACCUUCUUCCCCACCUUCACAN
Molecule: long non-coding RNA, 253 nt
Filed under: Populus trichocarpa (black cottonwood)
Lineage: Eukaryota; Viridiplantae; Streptophyta; Magnoliopsida; Malpighiales; Salicaceae
Description: long non-coding RNA (PTRI_LNC004474)
Source: RNAcentral